RNAcentral lists this ribosomal RNA (459 nucleotides) under uncultured bacterium. RNAcentral describes it as "partial 16S ribosomal RNA". It matches the Rfam family "Bacterial small subunit ribosomal RNA", at positions 338 to 795 of the family's 1533-position model. The record is from RNAcentral.
CCUACGGGAGGCAGCAGUGAGGAAUAUUGGUCAAUGGGCGCGAGCCUGAACCAGCCAAGUCGCGUGAGGGAAGACGGCCCUAUGGAUUGUAAAUUCCUUUUUUAGGGGCGCAAAAGAUGCCACGCGUGGCUUUCUGAGCGUACCCUAAGUACAAGCAUCGGCUAACUCCGUGCCAGCAGCCGCGGUAAUACGGAGGAUUCGAGCGUUAUCCGGAUUUAUUGGGUUAAAGGGGUGCGCAGGCGGAAGGUCAAGCCAGCGGUAAAAUUGAGUGGCUAAACCUCUGCGAGCCGUUGAAACUGGAGUUCUUGAGUGAGUGAGAGGUAGGCGGAAUGCGUGGUGUAGCGGUGAAAUGCAUAGAUAUCACGAAGAACUCCGAUUGCGAAGGCAGCAUACCGGAGAACAACUGACGCUGAGGCGCGAAAGUGUGGGUAUCAAACAGGAUUAGAUACCCGAGUAGUC